GUACUAGCUUCGGCUGCACACAUACUAAAAUUGGAACAAUCCAGAGAAGAUUAGACUGGCUCCCGUGCAAGGAUUUCACACAAAUUCAUGAGGCAUUCCUCAUUUUU
Molecule: small nuclear RNA, 107 nt
Organism: Chanos chanos (milkfish)
Lineage: Eukaryota; Metazoa; Chordata; Actinopteri; Gonorynchiformes; Chanidae
Source: RefSeq, a predicted model, not a curated record